RNAcentral lists this transfer RNA (73 nucleotides) under Bos taurus (domestic cattle). It matches the Rfam family "tRNA". Rfam says of the family: Transfer RNA (tRNA) molecules are approximately 80 nucleotides in length. RNAcentral also lists the same sequence under 1 other name. The record is from Rfam by way of RNAcentral. Lineage: Eukaryota; Metazoa; Chordata; Mammalia; Artiodactyla; Bovidae.
UCCCUGGUGGUCCAGUGGUUAAGACUCUACAUGUCCAAUGUAGGAGGCAUGGGUUCGAUCCCUAGUCAGGGAA